UGGGGAAUAUUGCACAAUGGGCGCAAGCCUGAUGCAGCGACGCCGCGUGAGCGAUGAAGGCUUUCGAGUCGUAAAGCUCUGUCCUAUGGGAAGAUAAUGACGGAACCAUAGAAGAAAGCCCCGGCUAAUUACGUGCCAGCAGCCGCGGUAAUACGUAAGGGGCGAGCGUUGUCCGGAAUUAUUGGGCGUAAAGAGUGCGUAGGCGGCAAAUUAAGUCAGAUGUGAAAACUAAGGGCUCAACCCAUAGAUUGCAUCUGAAACUGAUAUGCUUGAGUCAAGGAGAGGAAAGUGGAAUUCCUAGUGUAGCGGUGGAAUGCGUAGAUAUUAGGAGGAAUACCGGUGGCGAAGGCGACUUUCUGGACUUGAACUGACGCUGAGGCACGAAAGCGUGGGGAGCAAACAGG
This 404-nucleotide ribosomal RNA is filed under the name Verrucomicrobiota bacterium. RNAcentral describes it as "Verrucomicrobia bacterium partial 16S ribosomal RNA". It matches the Rfam family "Bacterial small subunit ribosomal RNA", at positions 355 to 776 of the family's 1533-position model. The record is from RNAcentral. Lineage: Bacteria; Pseudomonadati; Verrucomicrobiota.